UACCUGCAGUCGAACGAUGAAGCCCUUCGGGGUGGAUUAGUGGCGAACGGGUGAGUAACACGUGGGCAAUCUGCCCUUCACUCUGGGACAAGCCCUGGAAACGGGGUCUAAUACCGGAUAAUACUUUCCCUCUCAUGGGGGAAGGUUAAAAGCUCCGGCGGUGAAGGAUGAGCCCGCGGCCUAUCAGCUAGUUGGUGGGGUAAUGGCCUACCAAGGCGACGACGGGUAGCCGGCCUGAGAGGGCGACCGGCCACACUGGGACUGAGACACGGCCCAGACUCCUACGGGAGGCAGCAGUGGGGAAUAUUGCACAAUGGGCGAAAGCCUGAUGCAGCGACGCCGCGUGAGGGAUGACGGCCUUCGGGUUGUAAACCUCUUUCAGCAGGGAAGAAGCGAAAGUGACGGUACCUGCAGAAGAAGCGCCGGCUAACUACGUGCCAGCAGCCGCGGUAAUACGUAGGGCGCAAGCGUUGUCCGGAAUUAUUGGGCGUAAAGAGCUCGUAGGCGGCUUGUUGCGUCGGUUGUGAAAGCCCGGGGCUUAACCCCGGGUCUGCAGUCGAUACGGGCAGGCUAGAGUGUGGUAGGGGAGAUCGGAAUUCCUGGUGUAGCGGUGAAAUGCGCAGAUAUCAGGAGGAACACCGGUGGCGAAGGCGGAUCUCUGGGCCAUUACUGACGCUGAGGAGCGAAAGCGUGGGGAGCGAACAGGAUUAGAUACCCUGGUAGUCCACGCCGUAAACGUUGGGAACUAGGUGUUGGCGACAUUCCACGUCGUCGGUGCCGCAGCUAACGCAUUAAGUUCCCCGCCUGGGGAGUACGGCCGCAAGGCUAAACUCAGAAAAA
Molecule: ribosomal RNA, 840 nt
Filed under: Streptomyces sp. DA44
Lineage: Bacteria; Bacillati; Actinomycetota; Actinomycetes; Kitasatosporales; Streptomycetaceae
Description: bacterial SSU rRNA
Rfam family: Bacterial small subunit ribosomal RNA
Source: RNAcentral